GUUAAGCACUUAAGGUGCGGAGCCGUAGCGAAAGCGAGUUUUAACUGAGCGUUCAGUUACUUGACGUAGACCCGAAACCGGGCGACCUACCCAUGAGCAGGACGAAGCGAAAGUAAAAUUUCGUGGAGGUCCGAACCCACGAGCGUUGAAAAGCUCGGGGAUGACUUGUGGGUAGCGGUGAAAUUCCAAUCGAGCCCGGAGAUA
RNAcentral lists this ribosomal RNA (204 nucleotides) under Clostridioides difficile. Its description in RNAcentral is "partial 23S ribosomal RNA". It matches the Rfam family "Bacterial large subunit ribosomal RNA", at positions 645 to 847 of the family's 2925-position model. Lineage: Bacteria; Bacillati; Bacillota; Clostridia; Peptostreptococcales; Peptostreptococcaceae. The record is from RNAcentral.